AGAGUUUGUUUCUGGCUCAGGACGAACGCUGGCGGCGCGCCUAACACAUGCAAGUCGAACGGAGCUGAGAGGAGCUUGCUUUUCUUAGCUUAGUGGCGAACGGGUGAGUAACGCGUGAGUAACCUGCCCUGGAGUGGGGGACAACAGUUGGAAACGACUGCUAAUACCGCAUAAGCCCACGGCCCGGCAUCGGGCUGAGGGAAAAGGAUUUAUUCGCUUCAGGAUGGACUCGCGUCCAAUUAGCUAGUUGGUGAGGUAACGGCCCACCAAGGCGACGAUUGGUAGCCGGACUGAGAGGUUGAACGGCCACAUUGGGACUGAGACACGGCCCAGACUCCUACGGGAGGCGGCAGUGGGGGAUAUUGCACAAUGGGGGAAACCCUGAUGCAGCGACGCCGCGUGGAGGAAGAAGGUUUUCGGAUUGUAAACUCCUGUCGUUAGGGACGAUAAUGACGGUACCUAACAAGAAAGCACCGGCUAACUACGUGCCAGCAGCCGCGGUAAAACGUAGGGUGCAAGCGUUGUCCGGAAUUACUGGGUGUAAAGGGAGCGCAGGCGGACCGGCAAGUUGGAAGUGAAAACUAUGGGCUCAACCCAUAAAUUGCUUUCAAAACUGCUGGCCUUGAGUAGUGCAGAGGUAGGUGGAAUUCCCGGUGUAGCGGUGGAAUGCGUAGAUAUCGGGAGGAACACCAGUGGCGAAGGCGACCUACUGGGCACCAACUGACGCUGAGGCUCGAAAGCAUGGGUAGCAAACAGAAUUAGAUACCCUGGUAGUCCAUGCCGUAAACGAUGAUUACUAGGUGUUGGAGGAUUGACCCCUUCAGUGCCGCAGUUAACACAAUAAGUAAUCCACCUGGGGAGUACGACCGCAAGGUUGAAACUCAAAGGAAUUGACGGGGGCCCGCACAAGCAGUGGAGUAUGUGGUUUAAUUCGAAGCAACGCGAAGAACCUUACCAGGUCUUGACAUCCGAUGCAUAGCGCAGAGAUGCGUGAAGUCCUUCGGGACAUCGAGACAGGUGGUGCAUGGUUGUCGUCAGCUCGUGUCGUGAGAUGUUGGGUUAAGUCCCGCAACGAGCGCAACCCUUAUCCUAAGUAGCCAGCAGUUCGGCUGGGCACUCUUGGGAGACUGCCAGGGAUAACCUGGAGGAAGGUGGGGAUGACGUCAAAUCAUCAUGCCCCUUAUGAUUUGGGCUACACACGUGCUACAAUGGCGUAAACAAAGAGAAGCGAGACCGCGAGGUGGAGCAAAUCUCAAAAAUAACGUCUCAGUUCGGACAGCAGGCUGCAACUCGCCUGCACGAAGCUGGAAUCGCUAGUAAUCGCGAAUCAGAAUGUCGCGGUGA
Molecule: ribosomal RNA, 1344 nt
Filed under: uncultured bacterium
Lineage: Bacteria
Description: bacterial SSU rRNA
Rfam family: Bacterial small subunit ribosomal RNA
Source: RNAcentral